AGAGUUUGAUCCUGGCUCAGGACGAACGCUGGCGGCGUGCUUAACACAUGCAAGUCGAACGGAAAGGGCCCUUCGGGGUACUCGAGUGGGCGAACGGGUGAGUAACACGUGGGUGAUCUGCCUCGUACUUUGGGAUAAGCCUGGGAAACUGGGUCUAAUACCGAAUAUGACCUUCCCUCGCAUGGGGGUUGGUGGAAACUUUUUGGGUACGAGAUGGGCCCGCGGCCUAUCAGCUCGUUGGUGGGGUAAUGGCCUACCAAGGCGACGACGGGUAGCCGGCCUGAGAGGGCGACCGGCCACACUGGGACUGAGACACGGCCCAGACUCCUACGGGAGGCAGCAGUGGGGAAUAUUGCACAAUGGGCGCAAGCCUGAUGCAGCGACGCCGCGUGAGGGAUGACGGCCUUCGGGUUGUAAACCUCUUUCACCAGGGACGAAGAGAAAUUGACGGUACCUGGAGAAGAAGCACCGGCCAACUACGUG
This 483-nucleotide ribosomal RNA is filed under the name uncultured Williamsia sp. Its description in RNAcentral is "bacterial SSU rRNA". It matches the Rfam family "Bacterial small subunit ribosomal RNA", at positions 8 to 507 of the family's 1533-position model. Lineage: Bacteria; Bacillati; Actinomycetota; Actinomycetes; Mycobacteriales; Nocardiaceae. The record is from RNAcentral.